Molecule: ribosomal RNA, 696 nt
Filed under: uncultured bacterium
Lineage: Bacteria
Description: bacterial SSU rRNA
Rfam family: Bacterial small subunit ribosomal RNA
Source: RNAcentral
AACGCUAGCUACAGGCUUAACACAUGCAAGUCGAGGGGAAACGAUAUUGGAAGCUUGCUUCCGAUAGGCGUCGACCGGCGCACGGGUGGGUAACGCGUAUCCAACCUGCCCGCCACUUGGGGAUAACCUUGCGAAAGUAAGACUAAUACCCAAUGACGUCUCUAGAAGACAUCUGAAAGAGAUUAAAGAUUUAUCGGUGAUGGAUGGGGAUGCGUCUGAUUAGCUUGUUGGCGGGGUAACGGCCCACCAAGGCGACGAUCAGUAGGGGUUCUGAGAGGAAGGUCCCCCACAUUGGAACUGAGACACGGUCCAAACUCCUACGGGAGGCAGCAGUGAGGAAUAUUGGUCAAUGGACGAGAGUCUGAACCAGCCAAGUAGCGUGCAGGAUGACGGCCCUAUGGGUUGUAAACUGCUUUUAUAAGGGAAUAAAGUGAGUCUCGUGAGACUUUUUGCAUGUACCUUAUGAAUAAGGACCGGCUAAUUCCGUGCCAGCAGCCGCGGUAAUACGGAAGGUCCGGGCGUUAUCCGGAUUUAUUGGGUUUAAAGGGAGCGUAGGCCGGAGAUUAAGCGUGUUGUGAAAUGUAGACGCUCAACGUCUGCACUGCAGCGCGAACUGGUUUCCUUGAGUACGCACAAAGUGGGCGGAAUUCGUGGUGUAGCGGUGAAAUGCUUAGAUAUCACGAAGAACUCCGAUUG